GAAUGCAAGUUACUUUUGGAGUUUAAUUUGGCUUGUCACCAUGAAAUUUGAAGACUAUAAAAGAAAGGGAAGUUUUCGUAGGUUUGUUUCUUUUUAUUUUCUUUUUCCUUAAAUUUGAUAGUAACUUCUUUGAAAUAUUAUUAUGUGAUACUUCUUUGUUCAUGAUGCAACUUUCAGAAAACCAAAUGAAUGGAUGAGUGUUGCUGUAAAGAUCAUAAUCAGUAUUGAUUUUGGGUUCUCCAUUGGAGUAUCAUUUAAGGAUAUUUCACCACCAAAGGUAUGUAUUUUUUUGGGCAUAUAUCGUGUGAUUUGACUUUUAAGAGUAUAAGUAGUUGUAUUUUAAUUCAAUUUUUCAAGAAGUUGUGUAGACGAUAUUGGUAACUAGAUUUUUUUUUUUUUUUAACUAUAAUAUUCCAUUCCAAACAUUAGGGCAAAUUACAUAAGGAUAGCAGGUAGACGAGCAAAAAACUAGAUUGAACUUUAUAAAGUUUCUUUAUUGUUUCUGGCUUUUUCACCACCAAGGUACAUACUUGAUAUUUCAACUUAUAUCCCAAAAAGUCUGUUCUUGACUUUUGAGAGUCAAAGUAGCUAUACUUAUUAUUGGGCAUGUGGUAUCUUUGACUUUUAGUUGAAUUCAUAGGUGGUAUGCUAAAAGAUUCUUGCAUCCGUAUAUUGUUGCACCGUAUGACUUCAUAUUUAUAUGGGAUGAAGAUCUUGGAGUUGAGAAUUUUGAUGCUGAAGAAUACAUCAAACUUGUGAAGAAGUACAAAUUGGAGAUAUCAUAGCCCUGCUUGGAUUUAAAAAGUGAGGGUUUGACAUGGGAUAUGACCCAGAGACAAGAAGAACUUGAAGUUCACAAGCAAGUGAAUUGAGUGAAAUUGGAUCAAAGGACACAGAACAAAAGUAUGAGGAAAGUGUCAAGAAAAUUGAGCAAGAUGAAGAGAUUGAAGAAACCAAGCCGGAUGUAGAAAUUGAAAAAAGGAGCAAAAUGGGUUAUUACAAGCAAUCACCCCCGAUUCUUGCGCCUCAACAGAAACAAUACCUCAAGUAGAGACGACAGAACAUGAAGAAAGGAGAAAGUUGUCAACGUAUUAGAAAAAGAUCAAGAUGAGGAUGACGUUACACGCGCACAGGAGGUGACGGUUGAAGGAGGCUUACAAGAAAAAACCCACCACAAUGACGAUAGUGAGAGUUAAGUUGUUGAAGCUAAAGAAAGUGUAGAGGAAGAUGUUGCUGAUGUUUGUGUCUCAACACUUGUCAAAGAAAGUACAAAUAUUCAGUUCCAUUAAGUAUGAUCUUUUGUUUUGUUCAUUUUAAUGUUUGGUUAUUUGUAGUGUUUGGAUAAUGUGUUGAGAAUGAGUUUUAGUGGUUUGAAAAGAAGAAAAGGAAAAGUUAGA
This is a long non-coding RNA of Helianthus annuus (common sunflower), 1397 nucleotides long. RefSeq lists it as uncharacterized. The record is from RefSeq and is a predicted model, not a curated record. The transcript is spliced from 3 exons. NCBI's taxonomy places the organism in Eukaryota, Viridiplantae, Streptophyta, Magnoliopsida, Asterales, Asteraceae.